RNAcentral lists this ribosomal RNA (323 nucleotides) under uncultured bacterium. RNAcentral's name for it is "bacterial SSU rRNA". It matches the Rfam family "Bacterial small subunit ribosomal RNA", at positions 28 to 334 of the family's 1533-position model. The record is from RNAcentral.
GAUGAACGCUGGCGGCGUGCCUAACACAUGCAAGUCGAACGGAGAUAUGUAACGGAAGUUUUCGGAUGGAAGAUGCAUAUCUUAGUGGCGGACGGGUGAGUAACGCGUGGGUAACCUGCCGUAUACAGGGGGAUAACACCUGGAAACAGGUGCUAAUACCGCAUAAGCGCCCGGUAUCGCAUGAUACCGAGUGAAAAGCCGAGACGGUAUACGAUGGACCCGCGUCUGAUUAGCCAGUUGGCAGGGUAACGGCCUACCAAAGCGACGAUCAGUAGCCGGCCUGAGAGGGUGGACGGCCACAUUGGGACUGAGACACGGCCCAA